This 4321-nucleotide long non-coding RNA is filed under the name Citrus sinensis (sweet orange). RNAcentral describes it as "long non-coding RNA (CSIN_LNC002893)". The record is from RNAcentral. Lineage: Eukaryota; Viridiplantae; Streptophyta; Magnoliopsida; Sapindales; Rutaceae.
UAAUCAAGCUCAAGAAUUGUCUAUAAAUAAGGAUGUAUGUGCACAUUUUUAUUUUUGAACAAUAAAAAAAUUCCAGAUCCACAAUAUUUUCUCUGAGAUUUUCUCAGUAUCCAAACAGCUGAGCUUUUGUUUUCUUUCAAAAGGUUUAACACUAAAGAAGAGAUAAUGGAGAGCAAAAAACCAACUCUCACAGCCACGGCAACAGAGCGAAGGCAGCACAACCUUCCUCAGAACAUGCUUCAAUGGACUCAAUGUCGUUUCAGGCCUUUAUCUCACGGUCGCUCUCAAGUAACAAUUAAUUAAACAAACUUCAUGUCUAAGCUUUUUAGAAGAAUCUUAUUGAAAGCAAUCUAUCAGUAUCCUCUCUUACAAGCAUUUGAGUUGAACUUUCUGUUGUUGCAGUAUCUUGUCAUUCAUAAAUCAACUCGCCGUUCAGGUUUUUAAGAAAGUAGUGAUGCCUCUAUUUUUUUUUUUUUUUUCCAUGAUCACGACGAUUCCAUUACUGGAUUAGCGAUCGAGUAUCUUCUUCCAGUCGCGUAAGUCAUAAACUUCUGCUUCAAGCGAAGCCGUUUUUGAUCCAUCAACUUCAUUUUUGGACUCAUAUUUGUCUUCGUAAAAGUAAUCUGCUUUUGCUAACAUGUACGUAGGACAUCGAUCUUAUGCUUUUCCUUCUAUGUUGUAGAAUCUGAAACAACUGAAAAUUAUACUUGGUUGCUUACUUUUUUAAGUCCAACACCAAGUUGAUCAAAGAUUAUCUGACUUUCUAAUUAAGGAAUUGCACGAAAUUCAUAUUUUUUCGUGUUAAAGAUUCACAAGAUUGGCACGGUGAAAAUAAUGAAGGACAAAUAAAUUGGUUUCCAUAUUUGCCAGGUGUUGGGGAUACUAUCAAUUCCCUGUGCAUUUUUUUUUUUUUUUUUUUUUUGGGUUUUUUUUUUUUUUUUUUUUUUUUUGGGGCAAGAAAGACGAGCCUAGCACAAGCUAAGGGUUAACAAUAAGGGGGAAAGCAGUCCCUAAAACAGUCCAUAUCCGUAAUGAUGUACCAAACCUUUUCCAAAAAUUCAAACCAUAUAGUUAAAGAAGAAAUCACACAUGGCACUGAUACUACAUAUUACACACACACAGAUAUAUAUAUAUAUAUAUAAAGAUAAUUAACAAACAAACAAACAUCAAUACGUACCUACACAGAUAUUUCAGGUAUCAAAUAAUAAGCUUUAUUUAAUUGAUAACAUACAAAUUUAUGAUUUUAAUACAUUGGAAACUAUUUUUUAGUUAAUUGUAGCAUUCUCACUUUAUUAAAAUGAGUAUAUCGUCAUACUCUCUCUCUCUAUAUAUAUAGUCGAAUAUCUAGUGAAAGUAUCAUCACUUUGUUAAAAUGAGUUGUGUUUUAACUGACCUAAAUUUGACACAACAAAAACACAACCCAUGACCGAUUUUACCAGAUCUAAUUAUGAGAAAUUUUAUUUUUAUUUUUAUUGGACUUUAGUUCAUACUUUAAAUUUUGGCAUGUUGGAUUAUAUUGAAUUUUAAUUGUAGAUUGAUAAUUUAGCUGUGGUUGCUAUUAGAUAUAAUAUUAAAAAAAAAAACUGACAUUAUAUUUAUUUGUCUUCGGUCUGAUUCAUUUACUGCCCUAUGUAACACGCUUUUGCAUAUCGCAUGUAUAACUUGUGAAUAUAUUUAGAUUUAUAAUAGAUUCAAAUAUCAGAAUACACCUAGUUCGCUCGGUGUUUCAAUAAUUCAUUUUGUAAUCAUACAUCAUAGAAUCUUUGACCCAUUUGCAACUUUAAAUUUUGUGACAUUAACAUUAUAGCAAACGGCCGGCGGUUCUUCUUCCUGGCAAAUUGCAGUAAUAAAUGUCAUUUUCCUAAAAUCAUAGAAGUAGGCUACAGCAAGUUUGGCCAUUUAUUGUGUUCAAACUAAUCGAAAGAUCCCCAGAAAACUUCUUAUGUUCAAACACUUUGUUCAAAUUUUGGUCCAAUUACGUCAAAACUGCUCACUGUCAAUGAGGAAGACUAGUAACCUGAGAGGUUAUUAUUGGAUAGAAUUCAUUUAACAGCCAAAUCUACGCCUACCUCUUGGGUUAGGUAUUCUGAAAUUUGUUUUGUAGUGAAAUUGCUGUUAGAUUUUAGCCAACGAAAAGAAAAAAACUAUUCGUUAUGCCAAAUUUAAACAUUUUGUAUUCUAUUCAACAACUCCUUGAUUGGUUAGAUAGGUAUUUUUUUCUCCUUAACUAUUAAGGUAAAAUGUUUUGAGUCUCCCUGCUACUAACUGUAAGAGUGUUUUCUUUGAAUUUGAUAUGCUGGCUUUUGAUUGAACAUGUAUACUAUGUUGGGAUUUGAUUUUAUUAUAUGUAAUAUUAAAAAUAUUUUGUAUCCUGCUAUUAGAUAAGAGUGUUUUGUUACAAUAGAUCCUCGUAAAUAGAAAAUGAGGAUGAUUUAGUUUAUUUUUUUAAAAUUUAUUAUAAAGAUCUGAUCAUAUUUCUAUGUUGUAAUAUAUCUUCGCAAACAUAGAAAUGAGAUACUUAUUUUUCUUUUUUAAAUUUAGUAUAAUGAUACGAUGAGACUGUCGUGUCAUGGUGGAUCUACAUGAAUACAAAAUAAUGGUAUUUUAUUAUUAUUUUUAAUUAAUUAUAGUGAUUUGACAAGACUGUCUUGUCAAAUCACAGUAGAUCAUAAAAAAUAAAAGUGUGUGAUUGAUUUUUUUCAACGACUAUCAUGACUCAAAUAAUAAACUGCAACACUAAAGUCAAAAGUAGAUCAUCAUAAACAAAGAAAUUAUUAAAGUUAUCCAUAAUAUUAGGGAAUGGACAUGUUAUUGGAAAGUGAGUGCCAACUGGUUAAGUUGGUAGAAUCUGGCAUGUUAAAAACACAAGGACUGAAAUUUGAAUAAGUCUCCAAGUCUCCAUGUGGUUCAUUAAACAACAGUCGUAGAAUAUAUAUCCUGGAGUUCUGCUGAUGUACUUAAUUGUUUCCAUUUUUCCUAGCAAUUUGUAUCUUGAAUAACAAAGAUAAAAAAACUUAAAGAAAGAAAAGUGGUCAAAAAUUAUCAUAUAGUAUUAUUAAAUUUGUUUGCACAGGAUAGGCGGCAUGAGAUUCAAGUGUGGAAAAACUGCAAAAAGCGGUGACAAGAGGACUAAAUACUCGGUGAUUAAAACUAUAGGGGGCUCGGUUAAUUACUCAGUUCCUUAAGUUUUGUUGGAAUAAAAAUGUUUUUAUGUGGCUGGUAGAUUGAGAUGCUGAUAAAAAUCCUAAAUAGUGCAAAAGGGUUGGUCGUUUUCCGGCGUAAAGACCUUGGUAUGUUGAAACUUUACAGACGCGCCAGGCCAGAUCCUUAACAAACACUUUCUUAGCAUUCUAAGUUAUAUACAAAUGUCAAUUUCAUUUAGGGUCAGUUUUAUUGUAACUUUAAAAAUAAUUGUUGUUGUUACCUGUGUUUUUUUUUUAAAUAAUUAAUUGUGAAGAGAAUCAAUUAAACGUUGGAUAUAAUUUAUUUUUAAAAGUGUCAUGAGUUUUAAAAGCAGUUGUAUUUGUUUGAUAAAUGUUGUUGUUAAAAUAUCAAAAAAAAUAUAAAUAAUUGAUUGGACAUAAUAUUGAAUAAAAUUUAUUUAUCAAUUUAUAAAUAUGUAUAUAAAAUAUUUUUAAUUGUGUAUAUAUAAAAAUUAAUAAUUAAAAUAAAUAUUUUAUAUCAUUAAUUUUAUUUUUUAUCUCGAUAUAAUUAGUAAUAAUAAUAAUCUCUUUAAUGUUAAUGAUUUUAUUUAUAAAUUAGUAAAGAUAAUUUUCAAUUCCUAUAAUAUAUUUGAUGAUAUAUAUGAAAUUAUAUUAAGUAUAAAAGUUAUUCUCAAAAUUAGAUUUUGAAAAGGUAUUCUUUCUCAACUUUUUCAAAAUCACUUUUUCAAAAUCUAGUGCUGAAUAUAGUGACUUUGUCAAAAGAGAUUUUUCAAAAAAUUUAUUAAAUAUUGAAAUUAGCUUUUAACUUUUUAAAAUCACUUUUAAGUCUCUCAAAAGAAAUUCCAAACAGACCCUUAGUAUUUCAACAAAUUAAGCAAAGCAUCAAUCAUCACAAAAUACCCCAACUAUUUUUAUAUAAACUUGGCAUAAAUAAUUGUAAUUAACGUGCGUUAAAUCCGUUUCUAAUUAAUUAGAUAAAUAAAUAAAUUGAUUAAACUUCUGUACAUAUAACGCAUGCACGUGGACCACAUACUUCAUGCUUUGGAGCAAGCAACGCCGCAUCCAUUUCUUACGUUGGCCUUUUUGUUUGUGGAUAUAUAUAUUUUCAAAAAUUAUUAUUAUUAUUAUUUAAUUUCUCACUCUUACUUUUUAUCUCA